Molecule: ribosomal RNA, 496 nt
Filed under: uncultured bacterium
Lineage: Bacteria
Description: partial 16S ribosomal RNA
Rfam family: Bacterial small subunit ribosomal RNA
Source: RNAcentral
GAUGAACGCUGGCGGCGUGCCUAAUACAUGCAAGUCGAGCGAACAGACGAGGAGCUUGCUCCUCUGACGUUAGCGGCGGACGGGUGAGUAACACGUGGAUAACCUACCUAUAAGACUGGGAUAACUUCGGGAAACCGGAGCUAAUACCGGAUAAUAUAUUGAACCGCAUGGUUCAAUAGUGAAAGACGGUUUUGCUGUCACUUAUAGAUGGAUCCGCGCCGCGUUAGCUGGUUGGUGAGGUAACGGCUUACCAAGGCGACCAUGCCUACCCGACGUGUCGGGGGGUCGGCCACACUGGAACUGAGACACGGUCAAGAGUCCUACGGGAGGCAGCAGUAGGGAAUCUUCCGCAAUGGGCGAAAGCCUGACGGAGCAACGCCGCGUGAGUGAUGAAGGUCUUCGGAUCGUAAAACUCUGUUAUUAGGGAAGAACAAAUGUGUAAGUAACUAUGCACGUCUUGACGGUACCUAAUCAGAAAGCCACGGCUAACUACGUG